Molecule: ribosomal RNA, 253 nt
Filed under: uncultured bacterium
Lineage: Bacteria
Description: partial 16S ribosomal RNA
Rfam family: Bacterial small subunit ribosomal RNA
Source: RNAcentral
GACGUAGGGCGCAAGCGUUGUCCGGAUCUAUUGGGCGUAAAGAGCUCGUAGGCGGCUUGUCGCGUCGACUGUGAAAAACCACGACUCAACCGUGGGACUGCAGUCGAUACGGGCAGGCUAGAGUUCGGUAGGGGAGACUGGAAUUCCUGGUGUAGCGGUGAAAUGCGCAGAUAUCAGGAGGAACACCGGUGGCGAAGGCGGCCCCCUGGGCCGGCCCUGACACUGAGACGCGAAGGCGUGGGGAGCGAACGGG